CUCUGUUAGACUAUAUUAUGAUAUGAGGAUCAUCUGAAAGGUUAAAUCUUAUGAAAUAUCAUAAGUAUCCUUCCCAGAGUUUUUUGAUUUUGGCACAAAGUAGAAUGGAGAGAAAAAAGAGUCAUAUGAUAUGCACGUGACCAUCAUCUUCUCUUUUUUUGGCCAUGCUCUCUAUUCUCCAUCUAUUACAAAGAAGUGGGAAAGAGGAGGGAUGGGUGAAGGGGCAUAAAUUGGGUAGAAAAAAAAGGAGAAAUAUAAU
RNAcentral lists this long non-coding RNA (259 nucleotides) under Elaeis guineensis (African oil palm). RNAcentral's name for it is "long non-coding RNA (EGUI_LNC028154)". Lineage: Eukaryota; Viridiplantae; Streptophyta; Magnoliopsida; Arecales; Arecaceae. The record is from RNAcentral.